GGGUCAGUAGGUUGGUCGUGCCACCGGUACGUACUGGUCACACUGAUUCCUCCUUCCUGAGGAACCGUAAUGCCAUUAAUUUGGUGUUGCGGGGAAACAGGACUGUUACUUUGAAAAAAUUAGAGUGUUUAAAGCAAGCUAACGCUUGAAUACAUUAGCAUGGAAUAAUGAAAUAGGACGAUCGAUCCUAUUUUGUUGGUUUCUAGGAUUGACGUA
Molecule: ribosomal RNA, 216 nt
Filed under: Glomeromycotina sp.
Lineage: Eukaryota; Fungi; Glomeromycota
Description: partial small subunit ribosomal RNA
Rfam family: Eukaryotic small subunit ribosomal RNA (bases 44-216)
Source: RNAcentral